UCUUUCUUUUUUUUAAAUGUCUUUGUCUGGUUUGGGUAUUAUGGUCACAUAGAUUGAAAAGGGAAGUGUGUCUUUAAUUUCUAUUUUUGGAAGAACUUGUAGGAUUCACCAGUGCAGUUAUUUGGGCUUGGGCUCUUCUCUUCUUUCUUUUUUAUUAUUUAUUUUUAAAUUUACAUCUAAAUUAGUUAACAUAUACUGCAAUAAUGAUUUCAGGCAUAGAAUCCAGUGAUUCAUCCCCUACAUAUGACACCCAGUGCUCAUCCCAAAAAGUGUCCUCCUUAAUGCUCCUUGCUUAUUUAGCCCAUGCCCCCACCUGCAACCCCUACAGCAACCCUCAGUUUGUUUUCUAUAUUGAAGAGUCUUUUAUGUUUUGUCCCCCUCCCUGUUUUUAUAUUAUUUUUGUUUCCCUUCCCCUAUGUUCAUCUGUUUUUUAUCUUAAAUUCCACAUGUUAGUGAAAUAUGAUAUUUGUCUUUCUCUGACAAAUUUUGCUUAGCAUAAUAUACUCAGGUUCUAUCCAUGUUGUUGCAAAUGCCAAGAUUUCAUUCUUUUGAUCUCCAAGUAAUAUUUCAUUGUGUGUGUGUGUGUGUGUGUGUGUGUGUGUGUGCGCGCGCGCGCGCGCAUGUGUGUGUGUAUACGACAUCUUUAUUCAUUCAUCUGUUGAUGGACAUUUGGGCUCUUUCCAUACUUUGGUUGUUGUCAAUAGCACUGCUAUAAAUAUUGAGGUGCAUGUGUGCCUUUGAAACAACACACCUGUAUCCUUUGGAUAUGUACCUAGUAGGGCAAUUGCUGGGUUGUAGGGUAAUUCUAUUUUUAAUUUUUUGAAGAACCUCCAUACUGUUUUCCAGAGUGGCUGCACCAGUAUUUAUUCCCACAAGCAGUGCAAAAGGGUUCCUCUUUCUCUGAGUCCUCGUCAACAUCUUGUUGCCUGAGUUGUUAAUUUUAGCCAUUUGACUGGUGUGAGGUGGUAUUUCAUUGUGGUUUUGAUUUGUAUUUUGGGCUUGGGAUUUUCUUUGUGGAAGGUUUUUGACUACUAAUUUAAUUUCUAUAGAUGUUCUGUAGACAUCUAUUGAAUUUUGUUAGUAUGUAGUAUUCAAGUCUUCUAUUUCUUUGCUGACUUUUUCUUCUGUCCAUUAAUAAGGAGGAAGUAAUUAAAGUCCAACUUGAAUUUAUCUUGUAGGGAAGGUCUAAUAGCAACACAUUUUCUCAGUUUUUGUUUAUAUGAUGAUGUUUUAAUUUCUCCUGAAUUUUGAAGGCUAAUUUUUCUGGAUAUAGAAUCCUUGGUUGAUAAUCUUUUAAAAUUUUGACUCUCAUGCUUUCUGAUCAAAAAUCAGCUGUUAAUCUUACUGAGCUUGUCUUCUACAUGAUGAAUCCUAUUUUUAUUUUUCUUGCUUUGUUUAGGAUUCUCACUUUUUUUCUUUUUUUUUUCUAGUUUUUGACAGUUUAUGAUGUGUCUAUUAUAUUUUGGAGUUUGUCAAGCUAAUGAUUAGAAGCAUUUUUUUUUUAAUGCCCUGAACCAUUAAGUUAUCCCAGCCUUUUACAACGGUGUGUGUGUGUGUGUGUGUGUGUGUGUAGAUGCUUUCAACAACCUGGUAAGCAGUUUGUAGCUCUGCCUUAACCUUCAUUUCCUUCUUUUUGCUCAGGGACUCAAGGAGAGCCAAAGAUGAGAGGUUAAGUUCUUCUCAGGUAUUUCCUUGGCAUGCACAGAGCCCUACACAGGUGUAUGGCCUUCUCUAUGUCCAAGAAUAUGUUGGGGGUAUUUCAGAGCCUCCUGUGGACAUCUCAUUCCUCAGGUUUUUCUUUAAAGUUUUUUUGAUCAUUGCCAUUUCAGGCAGGUUGAAAUUUUAAGCAGUGGCACUGAUUUUUUUCAACAAAUGUAUUAGAGAUAAGGCUGUUCCCAAUGAGAGUCUCCAAAUUAGUUCAAAUGAAACAACAGCUGAGAAUGAGCCUUUUCUAGGAGGGUGUUAGGUCAAAUAGUAACUAUUUUCUGGAAAUGGUGCUUUUGAAAGAAUUCCAAACCCGGUUUACCACCCACUUCUUCCUGCCAGUGAUUGCUGAAUUUCACUGCUGUUAUGCUUGUAAGGCUCUUAUUUUCCAAGCUACCACAGAACUGGGCAGAUAGGCAUAGUAAUAGAAUAAAUUAAAAUGCCACAGGCUUGUUCUUACCAAGAUUCAACUGGGUUUUUUUUUUCUUUUGUUUU
Molecule: long non-coding RNA, 2199 nt
Organism: Acinonyx jubatus (cheetah)
Lineage: Eukaryota; Metazoa; Chordata; Mammalia; Carnivora; Felidae
Exons: 2
Source: RefSeq, a predicted model, not a curated record